RNAcentral lists this ribosomal RNA (374 nucleotides) under uncultured eukaryote. RNAcentral's name for it is "partial 18S ribosomal RNA". It matches the Rfam family "Eukaryotic small subunit ribosomal RNA", at positions 592 to 976 of the family's 1831-position model. The record is from RNAcentral.
UAAUAGUGUAUAUUAAAGUUGUUGCAGUUAAAAAGCUCGUAGUUGAAUGUUGGUGUCGAACGAGCGGUCAGCUUCGGCUGUACUGCUCUCUCGACUCCUUCCUUCUGUGGACUACGUCGCACUUUACUGUGUGGCGCUAGGACGCAGAUCGUUUACUGUGAAAAAAUUAGAGUGUUCAAAGCAGGCCAUACGCUUGAAUACAUUAGCAUGGAAUAAUGGAAUAGGACGUCGGGCCUAUUUUGUUGGUUCUAGGACCGUCGUAAUGAUUAAUAGGGACAGUUGGGGCCGUUUAUAUUCCGUAGUCAGAGGUGAAAUUCUUGGAUUUACGGAAGAUAAACUACUGCGAAAGCAUUCGGCAAGGAUGUUUUCGUUAA